CACGUAGGGUGCGAGCGUUGUCCGGAAUUAUUGGGCGUAAAGAGCUCGUAGGCGGUGUGUCGCGUCGGCCGUGAAAACCUGCAGCUUAACUGUGGGCUUGCGGUCGAUACGGGCAUCACUGGAGUUCGGCAGGGGAGACUGGAAUUCCUGGUGUAGCGGUGAAAUGCGCAGAUAUCAGGAGGAACACCGGUGGCGAAGGCGGGGUCUC
RNAcentral lists this ribosomal RNA (208 nucleotides) under uncultured bacterium. RNAcentral's name for it is "partial 16S ribosomal RNA". It matches the Rfam family "Bacterial small subunit ribosomal RNA", at positions 524 to 729 of the family's 1533-position model. The record is from RNAcentral.